GAUGAAGAACGUAGUGAAAUGCGAUAAGUAAUGUGAAUUGCAGAAUUCAGUGAAUCAUCGAAUCUUUGAACGCACCUUGCGCUCUUUGGUAUUCCAAAGAGCAUGCCUGUUUGAGUGUCAUGAAAAUAUCAACCUUGACUUGGGUUUUGUGCUCUAGUCUCGGCUUGGAAUUGGGUGCUUGCCGCUUUUACGAGCGGCUCACCUUAAAUGUAUUAGCUGGAUCUGUCUUUGAGACUUGGUUUGACUUGGCGUAAUAAGUAUUUCGCUAAGGACAUUCUUCGGAGUGGCCUCGUUUCUAGGACGCUUGUCCGCUUUCCAAUACAAGUUCCACCUCGUGGACAUGACUUUUUAUUAUCUGGCCUCAAAUCAGGUAGGACUACCCGCUGAACUUAAGCAUAUCAAUAAGCGGAGGA
RNAcentral lists this unclassified non-coding RNA (413 nucleotides) under soil metagenome. Its description in RNAcentral is "partial contains 5.8S ribosomal RNA, internal transcribed spacer 2, and large subunit ribosomal RNA". The stretch from base 1 to 120 matches the Rfam family "5.8S ribosomal RNA", at positions 35 to 154 of the family's 154-position model. The record is from RNAcentral.